GACGAACGCUGGCGGCGUGCCUAAUACAUGCAAGUCGAGCGAGCGGAACUAACAGAUUUACUUCGGUAAUGACGUUAGGAAAGCGAGCGGCGGAUGGGUGAGUAACACGUGGGGAACCUGCCCCAUAGUCUGGGAUACCACUUGGAAACAGGUGCUAAUACCGGAUAAGAAAGCAGAUCGCAUGAUCAGCUUUUAAAAGGCGGCGUAAGCUGUCGCUAUGGGAUGGCCCCGCGGUGCAUUAGCUAGUUGGUAAGGUAAAGGCUUACCAAGGCGAUGAUGCAUAGCCGAGUUGAGAGACUGAUCGGCCACAUUGGGACUGAGACACGGCCCAAACUCCUACGGGAGGCAGCAGUAGGGAGUCUUCCACAAUGGACGCAAGUCUGAUGGAGCAACGCCGCGUGAGUGAAGAAGGUUUUCGGAUCGUAAAGCUCUGUUGUUGGUGAAGAAGGAUAGAGGUAGUAACUGGCCUUUAUUUGACGGUAAUCAACCAGAAAGUCACGGCUAACUACGUGCCAGCAGCCGCGGUAAUACGUAGGUGGCAAGCGUUGUCCGGAUUUAUUGGGCGUAAAGCGAGCGCAGGCGGAAGAAUAAGUCUGAUGUGAAAGCCCUCGGCUUAACCGAGGAACUGCAUCGGAAACUGUUUUUCUUGAGUGCAGAAGAGGAGAGUGGAACUCCAUGUGUAGCUGUGGAAUGCGUAGAUAUAUGGAAGAACACCAGUGGCGAAGGCGGCUCUCUGGUCUGCAACUGACGCUGAGGCUCGAAAGCAUGGGUAGCGAACAGGAUUAGAUACCCUGGUAGUCCAUGCCGUAAACGAUGAGUGCUAAGUGUUGGGAGGUUUCCGCCUCUCAGUGCUGCAGCUAGCGCAUUAAGCACUCCGCCUGGGGAGUACGACCGCAAGGUUGAAACUCAAAGGAAUUGACGGGGGCCCGCACAAGCGGUGGAGCAUGUGGUUUAAUUCGAAGCAACGCGAAGAACCUUACCAGGUCUUGACAUCUAGUGCCAUUUGUAGAGAUACAAAGUUCCCUUCGGGGACGCUAAGACAGGUGGUGCAUGGCUGUCGUCAGCUCGUGUCGUGAGAUGUUGGGUUAAGUCCCGCAACGAGCGCAACCCUUGUUAUUAGUUGCCAGCAUUAAGUUGGGCACUCUAAUGAGACUGCCGGUGACAAACCGGAGGAAGGUGGGGAUGACGUCAAGUCAUCACGCCCCUUAUGACCUGGGCUACACACGUGCUACAAUGGGCAGUACAACGAGAAGCGAGCCUGCGAAGGCAAGCGAAUCUCUGAAAGCUGUUUUCAGUUCGGACUGCAGUCUGCAACUCGACUGCACGAAGCUGGAAUCGCUAGUAAUCGCGGAUCAGCACGCCGCGGUGAAUACGUUCCCGGGCCU
This 1385-nucleotide ribosomal RNA is filed under the name uncultured bacterium. RNAcentral describes it as "bacterial SSU rRNA". It matches the Rfam family "Bacterial small subunit ribosomal RNA", at positions 28 to 1381 of the family's 1533-position model. The record is from RNAcentral.